CUGUCCCUUUAUAUUAUUUUUAAAUGAUUUCGAAGUUACCAAUGACUAUGUUCCUUUUCCCAGUUGAGCUUUAUGUCAGAUUGAAAUCACAUAUAAAUGUGUACCUAAAUUGUUUUAUUUUCUCCCAGAAUUGUAUUUCUACUAAAUGUUUAAACGUGCGCAAUGAAUACUUGUUUCCGGAAUAAGCUUACAAAACGUUUCAGUACAAUCAUCCAUAAACAUUGUCACUUAAAAUUAUAAUUGUACCCUUAGUUGGCUCCUGGGCGGGUUAACAUCGAUAACUGACAGUCCACCUUAAAAAUUGCAGACCCAGCAGUUAUAACAACACUAUAUAAAGACUUAAUGUGUUUUGGAACACUUUUCAUUAAUAUCGCUAUUCGUAGAAUACUUUCGUUUGAAAACCAAAAAAAAAAACAUUAACAGAAUCAUAAGCCGAAAUCUUUUAAGACAAUCAUUGCUUGAG
Molecule: long non-coding RNA, 463 nt
Filed under: Mytilus galloprovincialis (Mediterranean mussel)
Lineage: Eukaryota; Metazoa; Mollusca; Bivalvia; Mytilida; Mytilidae
Source: RNAcentral